GAUGAACGCUGGCGGCGUGCUUAACACAUGCAAGUCGAACGGGAAUUACUUUAUUGAAACUUCGGUCGAUUUAAUUUAAUUCUAGUGGCGGACGGGUGAGUAACGCGUGGGUAACCUGCCUUAUACAGGGGGAUAACAGUCAGAAAUGGCUGCUAAUACCGCAUAAGCGCACAGAGCUGCAUGGCUCAGUGUGAAAAACUCCGGUGGUAUAAGAUGGACCCGCGUUGGAUUAGCUUGUUGGUGAGGUAACGGCCCACCAAGGCGACGAUCCAUAGCCGGCCUGAGAGGGUGAACGGUCACAUUGGGACUGAGACACGGCCCAGACUCCUACGGGAGGCAGCAGUGGGGAAUAUUGCACAAUGGGGGAAACCCUGAUGCAGCGACGCCGCGUGAAGGAAGAAGUAUCUCGGUAUGUAAACUUCUAUCAGCAGGGAAGAUAGUGACG
Molecule: ribosomal RNA, 445 nt
Filed under: uncultured bacterium
Lineage: Bacteria
Description: bacterial SSU rRNA
Rfam family: Bacterial small subunit ribosomal RNA
Source: RNAcentral